Non-coding RNA from Acanthosepion pharaonis, 110 nucleotides. NCBI's taxonomy places the organism in Eukaryota, Metazoa, Mollusca, Cephalopoda, Sepiida, Sepiidae. The record is from the annotation of a GenBank genome assembly.
AUGACCAUGUCGAGUUGAAACACCAGUUUUUGUCUGGUUACUGAAGUUAAGCAACAUCAAGUCCAGUCAGUACCUAGAUGGGUGACCACUUGGGAAUACCAGGUGCUAUA